AUGAUGGCGUUAUGACGUUUGAAUGUUAUAACAUGACGUACGUGACCUUAUAACGUGGCAUACAGCAUGACGUACGUGACCUUAUAACGUGGCGUACGUAACCUUAUAGCAUGACGUACGUGACCUUAUAACCUUUUCAUAUGCGCAUGCGCAUAAGCAACCUUGCUGCCUUAGCUUUCAUAACAAGCUAGCUAGCUAGAAUGGCUGAGCAGGAUGAAUUGUUUGGAGCAUGGAGUCAAUACUUUAUUGAUGUCAGUAGAUUCCUAGAGAACACAGAACAUCAACAUGAAUAGCGAAUCGAGAAUUUUGUGACUAUGUUUUGUCAAGACUAGAAGUUUGUCUGAGUACUUGCAUGCAACUAUCUGAUCAAAUGCUGCAAGGGGGUUCUGAAGUUGGAGAAGAAGAUGAGCUAGUAAUCAAUCGAAUUUGGUUCAUCUACUAGAGUGCCUGAGAAGUGUACACAGACAGUGGGUGCAAUAUGAAGAGAUGUUGGAUGUAGAAACCAGCAAAUUCCAGUAUCAAGCUGCUAGAAGAAUCUUGGGAAGAGGAAGACCUAAGUUUGAAAUUGAAAAGGAACAACUAGUGUACCUAUCAUCACUAAAUUUUAACUGGACUGAAAUUGCGGCCCUGCUGGGUGUGUCUUGUAUGACCAUAUAUAAUUAAGUUUUUGACUGAUAAACAUAAGUAAUACAUGUUUUACUAGUGUAUACAGAAGACGAGUUGAGUUUGAAUUGCUGGAUGACUCUGCAACAACUUUAUCAAAUGAUGAGCUCAACAGAAUUGUCAAGGAAAUUCAUUCAGAAUCCCCGACGUUAAGAGUCAUUAUGAUGGUAUGUGGAAGGCUGAGAAGAAUGGGAUUAAUGUCAAGGGAUAGAGUCCGAUGUUCUCUAAGGUCAUCUGACCCAUUAAGUGCAGCUUCAAGAUUGAUGGGUGGUCUUAGUCGACGACAGCCUUACUCAGUUGCUGGUCCAAACUCCCUCUGGCAUAUUGAUUCACAUCAUAAGCUUAUUAGAUGGAGAAUCGUCACUCGUGGCUGCAUUGACGGCUGCAGUAGGCUGGUGACUUUCUUGAAGUGUUGUGGCAAUAAUAAAUCGUCAACCGUGUACGAAUUAUUUUUGUGUGCAGUUCAAAAGCAUCAGCUGCCAUCUCGUAUAAUUAUAAGAAUGGACCAAGGUGGGGAAAAUGUAUUGGUCGCACGUCACAUGUUAGGACAUGAUAUGAGGAGUGUGAUUGUAGGAGCCUCGGUCCAUAAUCAACGCAUAGAGCGACUAUAUGGAGGGACAUGCACCGCUGUGACUAUUCUCUUUUACAAGCUGUUUUACUUUAUGGAACAAGUGGAUCUAUUAGACUGUUUGAAUGAGACGCAUCUGUAUUCCCUUCAUUAUGUGUUCAUUCCACGUAUUAAUCAGGCACUUGCACUGUUCAUUGGUGGAUGGAACCAUCACUCAAUCCAAACUGCACACCGUAAGUCUCCACACCAGUUGUUUACAACAGGGGCACUACUUUUGCAGCACGACUCGCAGCUUUGGAUUUUUUUGAGAAUGUGGAGGAAGAAUAUGGAAUUGAUAUGGAAGGCCCCAUCCCGUCUCAGGGACGUUCUAUAGUUGUGCCUGAGGUGCCAAUAAGGCUAAGUUCAGAGAAUUUUGCUCUCCUACAGCAAGCUGUUAAUCCGUUAGCACCUUCUGAUGAGUUUGGCAUUGAUUUGUAUGAACAAGUUUUGCAGUUUAUGUCAACGAUUACGGUAUAAAACAUGACCAUGAUGACUCAAUUUUGAUGUUAUUCUUACAUAAUUAUUAUUUUGAUGCAUGCCAUUGUGAUGCUCAGUAAACAAAGCUCAUAAUUAUCAACAUGAAAAAUGAUUAAUGAGAGUAUGCAUGCAGUACAUAGCUAUAAGCCAAAACAAUACUACCUAUAUAAUGAAAGGGAGUUAUUGUUAGAAUUGACGAUAAUCAUAUAAUUAUUAUGAACAUCCAUGAAGGUGAUUGAUUGAAAUGAAGGAUGACACUGAGAGUAAGCUAAGUAUAGCACAGCAAAAACACAUAUGUUAUAUGGGAUGCAUCAUCGUAUUUUAGUGUUAAAAUGACAGAAAUUUAUGUCAUUUCUACAUUAAAAUAAUUUCAAAUGAUGCAUUUUAUUUGAGAUGUUUUAUGUUAUUAUAACAUAAUUAUCUGUUUUUACUGUGUAUAUAGCCAAAACAAUUAUGACGUGAUCAGCACAAAUAAUUAAACUUAAGAAGUUCAAGGUCCAUUCAGGGAAUAGUAACAUAAUGAUAAUGACGAUACUUAAUUAAGAAGUUCAUGGUCCAUUCAGAAAGAAGUUACAAACAGUUCAUUACCCAUGCAACAAAGGUCAUUGUCGUUGAGGAUUGCCAUCCACUUUCCGUGAAAUUCGCUAUAAUUGGCAUACGAGAUUGGUAGCUUUAGCAAAGCAUCACAUGUGUUGUGCGCACAGGGCCUCCUGGCCCACUCAGACGAUUGAAUUGUACGAUGAUACUGCUGACAGACAAUACACUGCUCCCAGUUGUGAAGUGAAGAAAUCGCUGAAGCAGAUUAGUCGACAUAUUGCCAAUCAAUAUCUACAAGAUAGCCACCAACACGCUCCUCAGCAGGAUUCACCAACACGGGCAGUUUGAUAAUGCCAAACUUUCUUUGAAAACAUUAUUCUGAAGACAGAAGAACAAGUGAGGAGGCUACAAAUCUUGACAAUUAAAGCUCGUCAAGUGCUCCUCUUUUCUACUAAGGGAGGAGACUGGAUAGUGUGAGGACUGGAGUGUAUAUGUAUACCUGUUCAUUCGAGUGUUGUUUCUGGCAGCUCAGAGCCAUGAAGAGAAUCUACCUUUCUCAAACAUAAAUUAUGAGUUACAAAUAGAGGUCUAGAAUAUCAGAGAGGUCCAGCAGCCUGCUAAACCUUCAUAAUUUGAGGCAUUCAAUCAUCAUCCAUGAAGUUACAUGCCCUAGCUGGGUCACUAUAAUCAUGCUGCAGCACAACUGCAUGGCAACUCUCCUUGUGAAGCAGCUCUCUAUAAUGUGUAUACUAUAUGUACCAUACGGGUGGAAAAUUUUCAAUAUUUAGAACAUUUCGCGGGUAGUAGGGUGUUGUGGCACCUAUCUUGCAUGCGCAUAUGAAGCCUUCCACGGGUUCUAAUUUUCGUGUUCUGCAUGCAGCCACCCACAAAAAACGCGAAAUUAAAAAACACCUCGAAAUUUUCCACCGGCAUACGGUAUCUGUGAAUUUUCUAUAAUACAAUGUAUUAUUGGUUAAUUAGCCGACACAAAUACAAUGAAAAUUUUAAGCAUGCG
This is a long non-coding RNA of Halichondria panicea, 3299 nucleotides long. RefSeq lists it as uncharacterized. NCBI's taxonomy places the organism in Eukaryota, Metazoa, Porifera, Demospongiae, Suberitida, Halichondriidae. The transcript is spliced from 5 exons. The record is from RefSeq and is a predicted model, not a curated record.